Molecule: long non-coding RNA, 412 nt
Organism: Homo sapiens (human)
Lineage: Eukaryota; Metazoa; Chordata; Mammalia; Primates; Hominidae
Exons: 3
Source: RefSeq, a predicted model, not a curated record
CAGGUUAGUUAUAAAAGUGAGUUGGGCUCCUCUUGCCCUCUCUCCUGUGUUCUCUUGCAUGUGGUACCUUUCACCAAACACCAAAUGGACUAAGACAACUACUUAAUCAUCACAACAAACUUAUUGAGGAACCCUAUUUUUACCAGCAUUUAUAAAAUGGGAAAACUCAAACACAGAGGGAUAUGCAACCGCCGAAAUUCACACGAUUCACCAUUGUGCUCUCCAGCUGGCUCUGAAGAAGCAAGCCACCACAUUGCUCACUGCUCGUGGAGAGGAACACACGUGGAGGAACUGUGCAUAGCCUCCAGGAGCUGAGUGUAGCUUCCAGGUGACAGUCAGGAAAAAUCUAGAGCUCUCAGUCCUACUACCGAGGCUGGAGUGCAAUGGCAUGAUCUCGGCUCACUGCAACCUC